CCACCGCGGUUAGACGAGAGGCCCCAGUUGAUAUUACAACGGCGUAAAGGGUGGUUAAGGACAAAAAAAAUAAAGCCAAAUGGCCCUUCGGCCGUCAUACGCUUCUAGGUGUCCGAAGCCCUAAUACGAAAGUAGCUUUAAUAGACUACCUGAACCCACGAAAGCUGAGAAACAAACUGGGAUUAGAUACCCCACUAUGCUCAGCCAUAAACUUAGACAUCCAACUACAAUUAGAUGUCCGCCAGGGUACUACGAGCAUUAGCUUAAAACCCAAAGGACCUGACGGUGUCUCAGACCCCCCUAGAGGAGCCUGUUCUAGAACCGAUAAUCCCCGUUUAACCUCACCACUUCUAGCCACCCCAGCCUAUAUACCGCCGUCGUCAGCUUACCCUGUGAAGGAAAUAAAAGUAAGCAAAAUGGGCACAACCCAGAACGUCAGGUCGAGGUGUAGCGCAUGAAAUGGAAAGAAAUGGGCUACAUUUUCUGACACAGAAUAUUACGAACAUGUACCAUGAAAUAGUACCUGAAGGAGGAUUUAGUAGUAAAAGGGAAGUAGAGUGUCCCUUUGAACCCGGCUCUGAGACGCGUACACACCGCCCGUCACUCUCCCCUGUCAAAACGCACUAAAAAUACUUAAUACAAAAGCACCGACAAGGGGAGGCAAGUCGUAACACG
This 675-nucleotide ribosomal RNA is filed under the name Puntioplites falcifer. Its description in RNAcentral is "partial 12S ribosomal RNA". It matches the Rfam family "Bacterial small subunit ribosomal RNA", at positions 512 to 1495 of the family's 1533-position model. Lineage: Eukaryota; Metazoa; Chordata; Actinopteri; Cypriniformes; Cyprinidae. The record is from RNAcentral.